GAUUAAGUUAUUAAGGGCGCACGGUGGAUGCCUUGGCACUAGAAGCCGAUGAAGGACGUUACUAACGACGAUAUGCUUUGGGGAGCUGUAAGUAAGCUUUGAUCCAGAGAUUUCCGAAUGGGGAAACCCAGCAUGAGUUAUGUCAUGUUAUCGAUAUGUGAAUACAUAGCAUAUCAGAAGGCACACCCGGAGAACUGAAACAUCUUAGUACCCGGAGGAAGAGAAAGAAAAUUCGAUUCCCUUAGUAGCGGCGAGCGAAACGGGAAGAGCCCAAACCAACAAGCUUGCUUGUUGGGGUUGUAGGACACUCUAUACGGAGUUACAAAGGACGACAUUAGACGAAUCAUCUGGAAAGAUGAAUCAAAGAAGGUAAUAAUCCUGUAGUCGAAAAUGUUGUCUCUCUUGAGUGGAUCCUGAGUACGACGGAGCACGUGAAAUUCCGUCGGAAUCUGGGAGGACCAUCUCCUAAGGCUAAAUACUCUCUAGUGACCGAUAGUGAACCAGUACCGUGAGGGAAAGGUGAAAAGCACCCCGGAAGGGGAGUGAAAUAGAACCUGAAACCGUGUGCUUACAAGUAGUCAGAGCCCGUUAAUGGGUGAUGGCGUGCCUUUUGUAGAAUGAACCGGCGAGUUACGAUUUGAUGCAAGGUUAAGCAGUAAAUGUGGAGCCGUAGCGAAAGCGAGUCUGAAUAGGGCGUUUAGUAUUUGGUCGUAGACCCGAAACCAGGUGAUCUACCCUUGGUCAGGUUGAAGUUCAGGUAACACUGAAUGGAGGACCGAACCGACUUACGUUGAAAAGUGAGCGGAUGAACUGAGGGUAGCGGAGAAAUUCCAAUCGAACCUGGAGAUAGCUGGUUCUCUCCGAAAUAGCUUUAGGGCUAGCCUCAAGUGAUGAUUAUUGGAGGUAGAGCACUGUUUGGACGAGGGGCCCCUCUCGGGUUACCGAAUUCAGACAAACUCCGAAUGCCAAUUAAUUUAACUUGGGAGUCAGAACAUGGGUGAUAAGGUCCGUGUUCGAAAGGGAAACAGCCCAGACCACCAGCUAAGGUCCCAAAAUAUAUGUUAAGUGGAAAAGGAUGUGGCGUUGCCCAGACAACUAGGAUGUUGGCUUAGAAGCAGCCAUCAUUUAAAGAGUGCGUAAUAGCUCACUAGUCGAGUGACACUGCGCCGAAAAUGUACCGGGGCUAAACAUAUUACCGAAGCUGUGGAUUGUCCUUUGGACAAUGGUAGGAGAGCGUUCUAAGGGCGUUGAAGCAUGAUCGUAAGGACAUGUGGAGCGCUUAGAAGUGAGAAUGCCGGUGUGAGUAGCGAAAGACGGGUGAGAAUCCCGUCCACCGAUUGACUAAGGUUUCCAGAGGAAGGCUCGUCCGCUCUGGGUUAGUCGGGUCCUAAGCUGAGGCCGACAGGCGUAGGCGAUGGAUAACAGGUUGAUAUUCCUGUACCACCUAUAAUCGUUUUAAUCGAUGGGGGGACGCAGUAGGAUAGGCGAAGCGUGCGAUUGGAUUGCACGUCUAAGCAGUAAGGCUGAGUAUUAGGCAAAUCCGGUACUCGUUAAGGCUGAGCUGUGAUGGGGAGAAGACAUUGUGUCUUCGAGUCGUUGAUUUCACACUGCCGAGAAAAGCCUCUAGAUAGAAAAUAGGUGCCCGUACCGCAAACCGACACAGGUAGUCAAGAUGAGAAUUCUAAGGUGAGCGAGCGAACUCUCGUUAAGGAACUCGGCAAAAUGACCCCGUAACUUCGGGAGAAGGGGUGCUCUUUAGGGUUAACGCCCAGAAGAGCCGCAGUGAAUAGGCCCAAGCGACUGUUUAUCAAAAACACAGGUCUCUGCUAAACCGUAAGGUGAUGUAUAGGGGCUGACGCCUGCCCGGUGCUGGAAGGUUAAGAGGAGUGGUUAGCUUCUGCGAAGCUACGAAUCGAAGCCCCAGUAAACGGCGGCCGUAACUAUAACGGUCCUAAGGUAGCGAAAUUCCUUGUCGGGUAAGUUCCGACCCGCACGAAAGGCGUAACGAUUUGGGCACUGUCUCAACGAGAGACUCGGUGAAAUCAUAGUACCUGUGAAGAUGCAGGUUACCCGCGACAGGACGGAAAGACCCCGUGGAGCUUUACUGUAGCCUGAUAUUGAAAUUCGGCACAGCUUGUACAGGAUAGGUAGGAGCCUUUGAAACGUGAGCGCUAGCUUACGUGGAGGCGCUGGUGGGAUACUACCCUAGCUGUGUUGGCUUUCUAACCCGCACCACUUAUCGUGGUGGGAGACAGUGUCAGGCGGGCAGUUUGACUGGGGCGGUCGCCUCCUAAAAGGUAACGGAGGCGCUCAAAGGUUCCCUCAGAAUGGUUGGAAAUCAUUCAUAGAGUGUAAAGGCAUAAGGGAGCUUGACUGCGAGACCUACAAGUCGAGCAGGGUCGAAAGACGGACUUAGUGAUCCGGUGGUUCCGUAUGGAAGGGCCAUCGCUCAACGGAUAAAAGCUACCCCGGGGAUAACAGGCUUAUCUCCCCCAAGAGUUCACAUCGACGGGGAGGUUUGGCACCUCGAUGUCGGCUCAUCGCAUCCUGGGGCUGUAGUCGGUCCCAAGGGUUGGGCUGUUCGCCCAUUAAAGCGGUACGCGAGCUGGGUUCAGAACGUCGUGAGACAGUUCGGUCCCUAUCCGUCGUGGGCGUAGGAAAUUUGAGAGGAGCUGUCCUUAGUACGAGAGGACCGGGAUGGACAUACCUCUGGUGUACCAGUUGUCGUGCCAACGGCAUAGCUGGGUAGCUAUGUGUGGACGGGAUAAGUGCUGAAAGCAUCUAAGCAUGAAGCCCCCCUCAAGAUGAGAUUUCCCAACUUCGGUUAUAAGAUCCCUCAAAGAUGAUGAGGUUAAUAGGUUCGAGGUGGAAGCAUGGUGACAUGUGGAGCUGACGAAUACUAAUCGAUCGAAGACUUAAUCAA
RNAcentral lists this ribosomal RNA (2923 nucleotides) under Staphylococcus aureus. RNAcentral describes it as "23S ribosomal RNA". It matches the Rfam family "Bacterial large subunit ribosomal RNA". Lineage: Bacteria; Bacillati; Bacillota; Bacilli; Caryophanales; Staphylococcaceae. The record is from RNAcentral.